UGGAGAAUCUUGCACAAUGGGGGAAACCCUGAUGCAGCAACGCCGCGUGAAGGAAGACGGCCCUUGGGUUGUAAACUUCUGUUCUAAGGGAAGAUAGUGACGGUACCUUAGGAGCAAGUCCCGGCUAACUACGUGCCAGCAGCCGCGGUAAUACGUAGGGGGCGAGCGUUAUCCGGAAUUAUUGGGCGUAAAGAGUACGUAGGUGGUUUCCUAAGCAUGGGGUUUAAGGCAACGGCUUAACCAUUGUUCGCCCCAUGAACUGGGUUACUUGAGUGCUGGAGGGGAAAGCGGAAUUCCUAGUGUAGCGGUGAAAUGCGUAGAUAUUAGGAGGAACACCGGUGGCGAAGGCGGCUUUCUGGACAGUAACUGACACUGAGGUACGAAAGUGUGGGGAGCAAACAGGA
This 404-nucleotide ribosomal RNA is filed under the name uncultured bacterium. RNAcentral describes it as "bacterial SSU rRNA". It matches the Rfam family "Bacterial small subunit ribosomal RNA", at positions 355 to 777 of the family's 1533-position model. The record is from RNAcentral.